GUACUGCUGAAGAGUCCCAUAUUAGGACGAUGGAAACAGCUGUCCAGUAC
RNAcentral lists this non-coding RNA (50 nucleotides) under Trichobilharzia regenti. Lineage: Eukaryota; Metazoa; Platyhelminthes; Trematoda; Strigeidida; Schistosomatidae. The record is from RNAcentral.